RNAcentral lists this ribosomal RNA (629 nucleotides) under Paracoccus sp. 2-2. RNAcentral describes it as "bacterial SSU rRNA". It matches the Rfam family "Bacterial small subunit ribosomal RNA", at positions 37 to 712 of the family's 1533-position model. Lineage: Bacteria; Pseudomonadati; Pseudomonadota; Alphaproteobacteria; Rhodobacterales; Paracoccaceae. The record is from RNAcentral.
UGGCGGCAGGCCUAACACAUGCAAGUCGAGCGAACCCUUCGGGGUUAGCGGCGGACGGGUGAGUAACGCGUGGGAACGUGCCCUUCUCUACGGAAUAGCCCUGGGAAACUGGGAGUAAUACCGUAUACGCCCCUUGGGGGAAAGAUUUAUCGGAGAAGGAUCGGCCCGCGUUGGAUUAGGUAGUUGGUGGGGUAAUGGCCUACCAAGCCUACGAUCCAUAGCUGGUUUGAGAGGAUGAUCAGCCACACUGGGACUGAGACACGGCCCAGACUCCUACGGGAGGCAGCAGUGGGGAAUCUUAGACAAUGGGGGCAACCCUGAUCUAGCCAUGCCGCGUGAGUGAUGAAGGCCUUAGGGUUGUAAAGCUCUUUCAGCUGGGAAGAUAAUGACGGUACCAGCAGAAGAAGCCCCGGCUAACUCCGUGCCAGCAGCCGCGGUAAUACGGAGGGGGCUAGCGUUGUUCGGAAUUACUGGGCGUAAAGCGCACGUAGGCGGACCAGAAAGUUGGGGGUGAAAUCCCGGGGCUCAACCUCGGAACUGCCUUCAAAACUAUUGGUCUGGAGUUCGAGAGAGGUGAAUGGAAUUCCGAGUGUAGAGGUGAAAUUCGUAGAUAUUCGGAGGAACACCAA